CAUUUUGACAGCACAUAUAUUAUACUAUAAUUGGAAUGAUACAGAGAAGAGUAGCAUGGCUCCUGAGCAAAGAUGACAUGAAAAUUUGUGAAGUGCUCCAUAUUUUU
This is a small nuclear RNA of Rhinolophus ferrumequinum (greater horseshoe bat), 107 nucleotides long. The record is from Ensembl. NCBI's taxonomy places the organism in Eukaryota, Metazoa, Chordata, Mammalia, Chiroptera, Rhinolophidae.